This 484-nucleotide ribosomal RNA is filed under the name uncultured bacterium. RNAcentral's name for it is "partial 16S ribosomal RNA". It matches the Rfam family "Bacterial small subunit ribosomal RNA", at positions 28 to 507 of the family's 1533-position model. The record is from RNAcentral.
AUUGAACGCUGGCGGCAUGCUUUACACAUGCAAGUCGAACGGCAGCGCGGGCUUCGGCCUGGCGGCGAGUGGCGAACGGGUGAGUAAUGCAUCGGAACGUGCCCAGUAGUGGGGGAUAGCCCGGCGAAAGCCGGAUUAAUACCGCAUACGACCUGAGGGUGAAAGCGGGGGACCGAAAGGCCUCGCGCUAUUGGAGCGGCCGAUGUCGGAUUAGCUAGUUGGUGGGGUAAAGGCUUACCAAGGCGACGAUCCGUAGCUGGUCUGAGAGGACGACCAGCCACACUGCGACUGAGACACGGCCCAGACUCCUACGGGAGGCAGCAGUGGGGAAUUUUGGACAAUGGGGGCAACCCUGAUCCAGCCAUGCCGCGUGCGGGAAGAAGGCCUUCGGGUUGUAAACCGCUUUUGUUCGGGAAGAAAUCCUCUGGGCUAAUACCCCGGGGGGAUGACGGUACCGGAAGAAUAAGCACCGGCUAACUACGUG